UACGGAGGGUGCAAGCGUUGUUCGGAAUUACUGGGCGUAAAGCGCGUGCAGGCGGUUGAGCAAGUCAGAUGUGAAAGCCUUCCGCUUAACGGAAGAAGUGCAUUUGAAACUACUCGGCUAGAGUUCGAGAGAGGAGAGUGGAAUUCCCGGUGUAGAGGUGAAAUUCGUAGAUAUCGGGAGGAACACCGGUGGCGAAGGCGGCUCUCUGCUCGAUACUGACGCUGAGACGCGAAAGCGUGGGGAGCAAACAGG
This 252-nucleotide ribosomal RNA is filed under the name uncultured bacterium. RNAcentral describes it as "partial 16S ribosomal RNA". It matches the Rfam family "Bacterial small subunit ribosomal RNA", at positions 524 to 776 of the family's 1533-position model. The record is from RNAcentral.